RNAcentral lists this transfer RNA (87 nucleotides) under Phycisphaerales bacterium. RNAcentral's name for it is "tRNA-Ser". It matches the Rfam family "tRNA". Rfam says of the family: Transfer RNA (tRNA) molecules are approximately 80 nucleotides in length. The record is from RNAcentral. Lineage: Bacteria; Pseudomonadati; Planctomycetota; Phycisphaerae; Phycisphaerales.
GGUGGGGUGGCCGAGCGGUUGAAGGCGCCGGUCUUGAAAACCGGUGAACCCGUCAGGGUUCCGCAGGUUCGAAUCCUGUCCCCACCG